Molecule: long non-coding RNA, 1665 nt
Filed under: Olea europaea (common olive)
Lineage: Eukaryota; Viridiplantae; Streptophyta; Magnoliopsida; Lamiales; Oleaceae
Description: long non-coding RNA (OEUR_LNC015270)
Source: RNAcentral
AACGCACCUAGAGUAGGUCUUUCCAUAUAGCUCGAGAAAACAUUUCUAGCGAGCCGCUUAAAUUAGACGGCUUCCGACCACCGUCGUCUUGGCACCUCAAUCGUCUAUAGUAGUUUGUCCACUGCCGCACACCUAGCCAACAAAAACCCAAUCUAGUGUUGGCUAUUCCAAUAGACAUCACCACACCAUCCCUCAUCGACCAAAACACGAAAAGCAGAGACAUUGACAUAAUUGAUGUAGCACCAUCACUGUCGCUGUAGCAGCGACAUGGCAACUGCAAUAGUAGUGUACAGGGCAUUUGUGAUCUCUGUACUCGGUUGGGAGGUUUUGAGAUUUGGGGGGAUUUGGGGGUUUUGUUUUAAUUUAGAACGUAAUAAAUACGGGUUUAUGUAAUGUUUAAGUAAUUUAGAGUAUUAAUCUAAUCGGGUCAUUUUUAGAGUAUAGGGCCUAAUUUCCCCUUUUUUUUUAUUUUAAUGGGUUAAUAAAGAAAAACAAACAGGGACUUAGUUUGCUUUCUCUGGUUAUAUUGGGCCAAUCUACGUUCUAUUCCCGGGCUGGCUAUUCUCAGCCCAGCCCAAAUGUAAAGGGUGAAAUCCUACUCUACUAGUGGAGAAGCAACAGCAACACAAGUAGAUAGGUAUAGACAAUGCAUACAACCGACGGUAUAGAGAGAGAGACAAUAGUGGACAUAUCAUAUGAGAGUGGUGGUCGGUUUCAAUUGGUGGACGCCACCCCACUAGAGAGAGAAAUCCUGCAUUAGGUAUAGGGUGGGUGGCGUUGGGUGGGUAAGUAGGUAAAUGACAACUAAAGAUUUUAGAGAGAGAGAGAGAGAAACAGAUUGUUACGUGUGAGUGGUGGAGAAAAUGGGUUGUGGGGUGGACCGGUGGCAAGUGGGGUGGGCGUAGAGAGUGCAUUAUCACCCAUUUGCGCAUGCUAGCAUCAUCAUCCUCACCCCACCCAACAGCCUAAGUCCUUUCUCACUACAAUUACUGUUACUCUUAAAUUCAAUGCCUAUGUGCUAUCUCAUGAUAUCAACCACCACAACAAUACCCCCACCACCACUCCCAACCACCCCAUCUUGCUAUCGUGCGCUCCUUAACAUUGUUUGUCCCUUUAUACAUCCCACAUUAGCAUUAAAAAACAGUCACCAAUUUCCUCUUUAUCUUCGACACUAUUUUCUCCCCCGUCUUGCUAACGUGCACUUCCUCCAUCACCACCAGUUUUUGACCCUUGGCACAAAUCCCCCAACCUGCAUCCUGUCUUUGAUAAAAGUUUUUUUAUUUUGCCCAAAGAUGAGAACUUUUUGGUCUGUAACCACGCUACCGCCUUGCUAACGUACGCCGCAACCACCUGCACAACAGAUCUAUCGAAAGGCGACGCCGUCAGGUUGGCUAACGUGCGCCGUUUGUCUUGAUUUUGAUUUCCGGUCCUUUUAUUGUACCAUCCGAACAAGCCAUGUCAUCCACCGCAACAGCCACCACUCUCGCCGUGGGGGACGUAGUCGCCACUGAAACGGUGGAAAAACCUCCCCGGAGAUUCCCGCCUCCAUGCUGGACCCAAGAGGAGACGCUGGCUCUGAUUGACGCCUAUCGCGAGAGGUGGUACGCUCUCCGGAGGGGUUACCUGCGCACGGCGGAUUGGGAUGCGGUGGCGGCCAUCAUCAAU